Molecule: transfer RNA, 72 nt
Filed under: Sphaerodactylus townsendi
Lineage: Eukaryota; Metazoa; Chordata; Lepidosauria; Squamata; Sphaerodactylidae
Description: tRNA-Ala
Rfam family: tRNA
About the family: Transfer RNA (tRNA) molecules are approximately 80 nucleotides in length. Their secondary structure includes four short double-helical elements and three loops (D, anti-codon, and T loops).
Source: RNAcentral
GGGGAUGUGGCUUAAGGGUACAACAUCUGCUUGGCUUGCACAAGGUCCCAGGUUCGAUCCCAGGUAUUUCCA